GUCUACGGCCAUGCCACUCUGAACGUGCCCGAUCUCGUCUGAUCUCGAAAGCUAAGCAGGGUCGGGCCUGGUUAGUACUUGGAUGGGAGACCACCUAGGAAGACCAGGUGCUGAAGGCG
This 119-nucleotide ribosomal RNA is filed under the name Pteropus alecto (black flying fox). The record is from RNAcentral. Lineage: Eukaryota; Metazoa; Chordata; Mammalia; Chiroptera; Pteropodidae.